AUUGAACGCUGGCGGCAGGCCUAACACAUGCAAGUCGAACGGCAGCACAGAAGAGCUUGCUCUUUGGGUGGCGAGUGGCGGACGGGUGAGUAAUGUCCGGGAAACUGCCCGAUGGAGGGGGAUAACUACUGGAAACGGUAGCUAAUACCGCAUAACGUCGCGAGACCAAAGUGGGGGACCUUCGGGCCUCACACCAUCGGAAGUGCCCAGAUGGGAUUAGCUAGUAGGUGGGGUAAUGGCUCACCUAGGCGACGAUCCCUAGCUGGUCUGAGAGGAUGACCAGCCACACUGGAACUGAGACACGGUCCUGACUCCUACGGGAGGCAGCAGUGGGGAAUAUUGCACAAUGGGCGCAAGCCUGAUGCAGCCAUGCCGCGUGUAUGAAGAAGGCCUUCGGGUUGUAAAGUACUUUCAGCGGGGAGGAAGGCGGUGAGGUUAAUAACCUCGCCGAUUGACGUUACCCGCAGAAGAAGCACCGGCUAACUCCGUGCCAGCCGCCGCCGUAA
Molecule: ribosomal RNA, 506 nt
Filed under: uncultured bacterium
Lineage: Bacteria
Description: partial 16S ribosomal RNA
Rfam family: Bacterial small subunit ribosomal RNA
Source: RNAcentral